GUCUGCGGCCACGUCCCCCUGCACAAGCCCGCUGCCGUCUGAGCUCGGAAGCUAAGCAGGGUCGGGCCUGGUUAGUGCUUGGAUGGGAGGCCACACCGGGUGCUGUAGGCG
This 111-nucleotide ribosomal RNA is filed under the name Pteropus alecto (black flying fox). Lineage: Eukaryota; Metazoa; Chordata; Mammalia; Chiroptera; Pteropodidae. The record is from RNAcentral.